AUUGAACGCUGGCGGUAUGCUUAACACAUGCAAGUCGAACGGUAACAGGAGAGAGCUUGCUCUCUUGCUGACGAGUGGCGGACGGGUGAGUAACGCGUAAGAAUCUGCCUAGUAGUGGGGGACAACUACCGGAAACGGUAGCUAAUACCGCAUACGCCCUACGGGGGAAAGUGGGGGACCUUCGGGCCUCACGCUAUUAGAUGAGCUUGCGUUAGAUUAGCUAGUUGGUGAGGUAAUGGCUCACCAAGGCGACGAUCUAUAGCUGGUUUGAGAGAACGAUCAGCCACACUGGGACUGAGACACGGCCCAG
RNAcentral lists this ribosomal RNA (310 nucleotides) under uncultured bacterium. Its description in RNAcentral is "bacterial SSU rRNA". It matches the Rfam family "Bacterial small subunit ribosomal RNA", at positions 30 to 334 of the family's 1533-position model. The record is from RNAcentral.